Molecule: non-coding RNA, 891 nt
Organism: Camellia sinensis
Lineage: Eukaryota; Viridiplantae; Streptophyta; Magnoliopsida; Ericales; Theaceae
Source: RefSeq, a predicted model, not a curated record
UUUGCUCCGUCGUUUUUUGGGUGUAGACAAUAUUAUUUAAGAUGCCUUGCUUGCAUUUGACUGUAUGUAUAGGAUAGAGAGUUUUGUCCCUUGUUUGAUUCUUGAGUUUUGACUGUAUGUAUAAACUCGUUACACUGCCAACCACCAACAUAUAUAAACUCAUGACACUGUAUUUUGGGUUUGAAUUUGGGGUUAGAGAUAUAGUUUGUAUUAAGGUGGGGGUUCAAAGAGAAAAUGGAGGGGUUUCAUUUUGUUGGAUGGGGGUUCAAAGAAGUGGGGGGGCCAAAGUAAAAUGGUGGGGGCAAAUAGCAGCCCUCAUAAUUUAAGAUGUCAAAUAUGGAAUGCCUUAAAACUCACAUUAGCAUUUCAUCACAGAAAUAUGGAUUUCAACAUAUAACUUACAAAAAAGCAAAAAGAAAAAAAAGGCUUUCAAUAUAUGAAAGCAAGAAGAAUGUUUUCAUAGCUAGGAGCAAGACUAAAGUGAGUGAAAUUUAGGUAAAAAUGAAGGAGCAUAGAUCCUAUUGGCUGAAAGCUAUCUUUGACAUAUCGAGUGUCUAAAUGUAAUCAUCCUUACUGCAACAAAUGUUACCGAGCUGGACGGGCAAUGGGAUUGUCUGAUUGAAUUAACAAGUUCUAGUGGCCUUCUAGCAUUGGCGGAACCGUUUGUAUCUAAGCGCUUGAGAACCACUCAGUCAGAUGUAGAAACUGCUCAACCUCUAUCAAAACUGUGUCUUGAAUUCCCAGAUCUUUACAUAGGUUGCUAUCGUGAAUCCAGAACUGGUCCCCUUGUUAUUAGUUUUGAAGGCAAGACCUUCUUCCCAUGAUUGGCUGCCGGAUCAAUCAAGAGUAGAAGCAGCUGCGGAAGCACUUUGCAAGAAGUUUCAUCCUGGG